Long non-coding RNA from Sinocyclocheilus grahami, 2488 nucleotides. NCBI's taxonomy places the organism in Eukaryota, Metazoa, Chordata, Actinopteri, Cypriniformes, Cyprinidae. The record is from Ensembl.
AAUAUGCAUCAUAUAAAUCUGAUAUGUUAUGCAUUGGAUUGUGUAUGUCUAGCCAAAUAUUAUUUUGCUUCUGGCAAAUACUGUGGGGCUUUUGGUUUGAACCCCAUACAUUCUUACAGCUUCACUGAUAUUUCUGAAAACCUAAUGAUAUAGUUGCAGAGAUACGGGCCAAGGAGAUGUUAGAAGAAGAAGGGGAGUAUGAGGAGGAAGAGGACGAGGAGGAGGAAGAUGAGGGGCUUGCUGAAGAAGAGGAGGAGGAGGAAGAAGAAGACGAAGAGUAUGAGGACGAAGAUGAAGAAGAAGAAGAGGAAGAAGAUGGUGAUGAGAUCGAGGAGGAGGAAGAAGAGGAUGAAGAAGAAGAAGAGGAGGAGGAAGAAGAAGAGAAGGCAGAUGCUGAGGAGGAGGAAGCAGCAGCAAAGGAAGCUGUGGAGGAGGAGAGUAAAGAAGAGGAGGCUGAAGAAAAGGAGGAAGAGAAGGCAGAUGCUGAGGAGGAAGAGGAGGAGGAAGCAGCAGAGGAAGCUGUGGUGGAGGAGGGAAAAGAAGAGGAGGCUGAAGAAAAGGAGGAAGAGAAGGCAGAUGCUGAGGAGGAAGAGGAGGAGGAAGCAGCAGAGGAAGCUGUGGUGGAGGAGGGAAAAGAAGAGGAGGCUGAAGAAAAGGAGGAAGAGAAGGCAGAUGCUGAGGAGGAAGAGGAGGAGGAAGCAGCAGAGGAAGCUGUGGUGGAGGAGGGAAAAGAAGAGGAGGCUGAAGAAAAGGAGGAAGAGAAGGCAGAUGCUGAGGAGGAAGAGGAGGAGGAAGCAGCAGCAGCAGAGGAAGCUGUGGAGGAGGAGGCUGAAGAAAAUGAAAAAAUGGAAGCUGAUGCUGAGGAAGAAGCAGAAGAUGAAGAGGAGGAAGCAGCAGCAGAAGAAACUGUGGAAAAAGGUAAGGAGGAAGAGGAAGCUGCUGCUGCUCCUGCUGUCGAAAGGGAAGAUACUUCAAUCCCUGCUGAACCUUAUGAGGUGAAAGAAGAACAAGUCACUUCUAAAGAAGCUGAGGCAGCUGAAGAAGAGGAGGAGGAGGAUAAAAUUGAUGUAGUUAAAGAACCACCUGAGGACGAAGAUGGAAAAGAAGAUACUCCUGCUGAUAAUAAAGAGAAAAAAGAAGAAGUAGAUGACAUUACUGAUGAUGACCAAAAAGAUGACCAAAGUGAGGAGAAAGAGGCUGAUAUCGUCAUUUCUCUUGGUAUCAUAGCUGAUGCUGGUGCUACAGUCACUGAUGUUGAAGCACAAGAAACUGGUGAGGAACCUAUACUUCUUAAAGCUGAUGGUGAUUCAGAGCUAUUAACAACCAUAGAGGAGAGUGCUGCUAAAGCUGAUGAUGCAGUAGCUGAUUUAGCUGACUCACAAGAUGGCUUAGCCGCAACUGAUAUCCCAUAUGAUGACCAUGAUGAUAAGAUAGCAAAAGAUCUAGCUGAGGAUCAUGGUGAGGUUACAGAAGACAGUCUUAAAGAUGAGACUGGUGCUGGACUGAAAGACGCUGACUCUGAAAAACAUAUAACAAGUGAGGGUGAGGGUGAGGGUGUUAUUGAAAAGCCUGAGCUAGCUGAUGAUGUUGCAGAUAAGGAGGAGCAGGAGGAAGAGGGAAAAGAGGAGGGAGAGGAACAGAUAAGGGGUGAGGAUGAGGAAGAUGAUGAUGAUAUUAUAGUAACAACACCUGUAGUUAGUUCCGAACCAGGUGGAGAUGAGACAACAGUGGUGGCUGAUGAAGAUGAUGGCUCUUCACGUGAGAAAGACAUAACAACCCUGAAAGAAGAGGAGAAAGAUGAAAAGGAUGAAAGCGUAGAGGAAGUGGAAACUGCCGAAAAAGCACCAAAACCAGAACCGAUCCCUAAAGCCGAGGAAGUGAAAGAAAAAGAAGCAGAGAAACCUGUGGCAGAGGCUGAAAAAGAAGACAAACAAAAAGAGCCCUCUACCUGUCCUUGUAUGCAUUCAGUAAUACAUAAAGAGCCUCAAAAAGCCCAAGACACUAAACCAAAGGAAGAAAAAGCUGAACCUGAUAAAGUAAAGAAAAGAGAAGCAGAGACUAAGAGAAGGGAACCCCUGCUUAAACAGAGAAAAGGUGCAGAGUUAUUGUUUUUUUUCUCAGAUCAGAAUAUUAAAUAUAGAUAGGCAUUUGUUUGUGGAAGAAUAUUGUCCUGAAGUCCUUUUUAUCGCCUCCUCACUAACAUUUGCUCAUCAGAAAAAGAGGCUCCAAUAAGAACAAGACUAGAGAAAGCAAAGAAAGGUAAAAAAGAACAAGCACAAUGUGUGCCUGCCUUUAUAUAUCAUCAUACCCAUACUUGUUUCAAAUGAUUUUUAUAAUCAUUAUAAUCGAUGAAUAUUGCAGAAUCAAAUUUGCUCUCUGCUUCACAGCUCCAAAACCAAAGGCAGCGGCUGUCAACAUACCCAAAACGAGAAGUAAAUCCACAUGAUCUGAUCAUACUUUACUUCUUUAAAGGGAUAGUUCAUCCAUA